ACUCAAAUGAAUUGACGGGGGCCCGCACAAGCGGUGGAGCAUGUGGUUUAAUUCGAUGCAACGCGAAGAACCUUACCUACCCUUGACAUGUCUGGAAUUUCAUAGAGAUAUGAGAGUGCCGCAAGGAACCAGAACACAGGUGCUGCAUGGCUGUCGUCAGCUCGUGUCGUGAGAUGUUGGGUUAAGUCCCGUAACGAGCGCAACCCCUGUAUUUAAUUGCUAACAUUAAGUUGAGUACAUUAAAUAGACUGUCGGUGAUAAACCGGAGGAAGGUGGGGAUGACGUCAAGUCCUCAUGGCCCUUAUGGGUAGGGCUACACACGUGCUACAAUGGGCAGUACAGAGGGAAGCGAAGUCGCGAGAUGGAGCAAAUCUCAGAAAGCUGCUCGUAGUCCGGAUUGGAGUCUGCAACUCGACUCCAUGAAGUUGGAAUCGCUAGUAAUCGCGGAUCAGAAUGCUGCGGUGAAUACGUUCCCGGGCCUUGUACACACCGCCCGU
This 497-nucleotide ribosomal RNA is filed under the name uncultured bacterium. RNAcentral describes it as "partial 16S ribosomal RNA". It matches the Rfam family "Bacterial small subunit ribosomal RNA", at positions 899 to 1397 of the family's 1533-position model. The record is from RNAcentral.